GGGUUCGAUUCCGGAGAGGGAGCCUGAGAAACGGUACCACAUCCAAGGAAGGCAGCAGGCGCGCAAAUUACCCAAUCCCGACACGGGGAGGUAGUGACAAUAAAUAACAAUAUAGGGCUCUUUUGGGUCUUAUAAUUGGAAUGAGUACAAUUUAAAUCUCUUAACGAGGAACAAUUGGAGGGCAAGUCUGGUGCCAGCAGCCGCGGUAAUUCCAGCUCCAAUAGCGUAUAUUAAAGUUGUUGCAGUUAAAAAGCUCGUAGUUGAACCUUGGGCCUGGCUGGCCGGUCCGCCUCACCGCGUGCACUGGUCCGGCCGGGCCUUUCCUUCUGGGGAGCCGCAUGCCCUUCACUGGGUGUGUCGGGGAACCAGGACUUUUACUUUGAAAAAAUUAGAGUGUUCAAAGCAGGCCUAUGGUCGAAUUACUUAGCAUGGAAUAAUAGAA
This 442-nucleotide ribosomal RNA is filed under the name uncultured fungus. RNAcentral's name for it is "SSU rRNA". It matches the Rfam family "Eukaryotic small subunit ribosomal RNA", at positions 373 to 822 of the family's 1831-position model. Lineage: Eukaryota; Fungi. The record is from RNAcentral.